This 429-nucleotide ribosomal RNA is filed under the name Chloroflexota bacterium. Its description in RNAcentral is "Chloroflexi bacterium partial 16S ribosomal RNA". It matches the Rfam family "Bacterial small subunit ribosomal RNA", at positions 355 to 776 of the family's 1533-position model. Lineage: Bacteria; Bacillati; Chloroflexota. The record is from RNAcentral.
UAGGGAAUCUUCGGCAAUGGACGAAAGUCUGACCGAGCAACGCCGCGUGAGUGAAGAAGGUUUUCGGAUCGUAAAACUCUGUUGUUAGAGAAAAACAAGGACGUUAGUAACUGAACGUCCCCUGACGGAAUCUAACCAGAAAGCCACGGCUAACUACGUGCCAGCAGCCACGGUAAUACGUAGGUGGCAAGCGUUGUCCGGAUUUAUUGGGCGUAAAGCGAGCGCAGGCGGUUUCUUAAGUCUGAUGUGAAAGCCCCCGGCUCAACCGGGGAGGGUCAUUGGAAACUGGGAGACUUGAGUGCAGAAGAGGAGAGUGGAAUUCCAUGUGUAGCGGUGAAAUGCGUAGAUAUAUGGAGGAACACCAGUGGCGAAGGCGGCUCUCUGGUCUGUAACUGACGCUGAGGCUCGAAAGCGUGGGGAGCAAACAGG